CUCUCGGGGUUACAGCCUUGCUGAAUUAUUCACCCUUGUCUUUUGCGUACUUCUUGUUUCCUUGGUGGGUUCGCCCACCACUAGGACAAACAUAAACCUUUUGUAAUUGCAAUCAGCGUCAGUAACAAAUUAAUAAUUACAACUUUCAACAACGGAUCUCUUGGUUCUGGCAUCGAUGAAGAACGCAGCGAAAUGCGAUAAGUAGUGUGAAUUGCAGAAUUCAGUGAAUCAUCGAAUCUUUGAACGCACAUUGCGCCCUUUGGUAUUCCAAAGGGCAUGCCUGUUCGAGCGUCAUUUGUACCCUCAAGCUUUGCUUGGUGUUGGGCGUCUUGUCUCUAGCUUUGCUGGAGACUCGCCUUAAAGUAAUUGGCAGCCGGCCUACUGGUUUCGGAGCGCAGCACAAGUCGCACUCUCUAUCAGCAAAGGUCUAGCAUCCAUUAAGCCUUUUUUUCAACUUUUGACCUCGGAUCAGGUAGGGAUACCCGCUGAACUUAAGCAUAUCAU
Molecule: ribosomal RNA, 504 nt
Filed under: Alternaria alternata
Lineage: Eukaryota; Fungi; Ascomycota; Dothideomycetes; Pleosporales; Pleosporaceae
Description: eukaryotic LSU rRNA
Rfam family: 5.8S ribosomal RNA (bases 141-294)
Source: RNAcentral